This 253-nucleotide ribosomal RNA is filed under the name uncultured bacterium. RNAcentral's name for it is "partial 16S ribosomal RNA". It matches the Rfam family "Bacterial small subunit ribosomal RNA", at positions 524 to 776 of the family's 1533-position model. The record is from RNAcentral.
UACUUAGGGGGCAAGCGUUGUCCGGAAUCAUUGGGCGUAAAGCGCGUGUAGGCGGCUGAGUAAGUCUGCUCUGAAAGCCCGGGGCUCAACCCCGGGAGGCGGGUGGAUACUGCUCAGCUCGAGUCCGGAAGAGGAGUGUGGAAUUCCUGGUGUAGCGGUGAAAUGCGCAGAUAUCAGGAGGAACACCAAUGGCGAAGGCAGCACUCUGGGACGGUACUGACGCUGAGACGCGAAAGCGUGGGGAGCAAACAGG